This 465-nucleotide ribosomal RNA is filed under the name uncultured bacterium. RNAcentral describes it as "partial 16S ribosomal RNA". It matches the Rfam family "Bacterial small subunit ribosomal RNA", at positions 29 to 507 of the family's 1533-position model. The record is from RNAcentral.
ACGAACGCUGGCGGCGCGCCUAACACUUGCAAGUCGUACGAGCGAGAGAUAGCUUGCUUUCUUGAGCGAGUGGCGAACGGGUGAGUAACGCGUGAGGAACCUGCCUCAAAGAGGGGGACAACAGUUGGAAACGACUGCUAAUACCGCAUAAGCCCACGGUGCCGCAUGGCACAGAGGGAAAAGGAGCAAUCCGCUUUGAGAUGGCCUCGCGUCCGAUUAGCUAGUUGGUGAGGUAACGGCCCACCAAGGCGACGAUCGGUCGCCGGACUGAGAGGUUGAACGGCCACAUUGGGAGUGAGACACGGCCCAGACUCCUAAGGGAGGCAGCAGUGGAGAAUAUUGCACAAUGGGGGAAACCCUGAUGCAGCGACGACGCGUGGAGGAAGAAGGUCAUCGGAUUGUAAAAUCCUGUUGUUGGGGAAGAUAAUGACGGUACCCAACAAGGAAGUGACGGCUAACUACGUG